Molecule: ribosomal RNA, 465 nt
Filed under: Vreelandella stevensii
Lineage: Bacteria; Pseudomonadati; Pseudomonadota; Gammaproteobacteria; Oceanospirillales; Halomonadaceae
Description: partial 16S ribosomal RNA
Rfam family: Bacterial small subunit ribosomal RNA
Source: RNAcentral
CCUACGGGAGGCAGCAGUGGGGAAUAUUGGACAAUGGGCGAAAGCCUGAUCCAGCCAUGCCGCGUGUGUGAAGAAGGCCUUCGGGUUGUAAAGCACUUUCAGUGGGGAAGAAAGCCUUGGGGCUAAUACCCUCGAGGAAGGACAUCACCCACAGAAGAAGCACCGGCUAACUCCGUGCCAGCAGCCGCGGUAAUACGGAGGGUGCGAGCGUUAAUCGGAAUUACUGGGCGUAAAGCGCGCGUAGGCGGUCUGAUAAGCCGGUUGUGAAAGCCCCGGGCUCAACCUGGGAACGGCAUCCGGAACUGUCAGGCUAGAGUGCAGGAGAGGAAAGUAGAAUUCCCGGUGUAGCAGUGAAAUGCGUAGAGAUCGGGAGGAAUACCAGUGGCGAAGGCGGCCUGCUGGACUGACACUGACGCUGAGGUGCGAAAGCGUGGGUAGCAAACAGGAUUAGAUACCCCAGUAGUC